GGGGGCGUGGCGUAGGGGUUAUCACGCUUCAUUUGCAAUCAUAAUUUGAAGAGGUCACGAGUAUAAUUCUCGUCUUCUCCA
This 81-nucleotide transfer RNA is filed under the name Sphaerobolus stellatus SS14. It matches the Rfam family "tRNA". From Rfam's summary of the family: Transfer RNA (tRNA) molecules are approximately 80 nucleotides in length. Their secondary structure includes four short double-helical elements and three loops (D, anti-codon, and T loops). The record is from Rfam by way of RNAcentral. Lineage: Eukaryota; Fungi; Basidiomycota; Agaricomycetes; Geastrales; Sphaerobolaceae.